CCUGGGAAUGUUGAUUUGAUUAAUUUUCGUUCUACAUAUUUAGUGCAAUCGAGCACCGGGUUAUACCAACCGUGAGUAGGAGUGCAAGGACACAUACAUAAUAAAGUUACAUUUAUAAUUGUAAUGGUAUUUAUUAAUGACUUUACAUCAUAAAGAAAGCAUAGUUAGGGUAAUGCUUUGGAGACACCACUAAGGGCAUUGUGUAGAAAGAUAUGUGCUUUUGGCAGUAACAUCACAGGGCAGCCUACUUAGGAAUACACUGAAUAAGAACCAGAUGUAGGAGGAAAUCUGGCUUUUUUAGGGGGGCUUUUUAACUGACUGAAGAUGUAUCAGAACUGCCUUAACCCCAGCAAAGGGCUGGG
This is a non-coding RNA of Pelobates cultripes (western spadefoot toad), 362 nucleotides long. The record is from the annotation of a GenBank genome assembly. Lineage: Eukaryota; Metazoa; Chordata; Amphibia; Anura; Pelobatidae.